CCUACGGGAGGCAGCAGUGGGGAAUAUUGGGCAAUGGGCGCAAGCCUGACCCAGCAACGCCGCGUGAAGGAAGAAGGCUUUCGGGUUGUAAACUUCUUUUCUCAGGGACGAAGAAAGUGACGGUACCCGAGGAAUAAGCCACGGCUAACUACGUGCCAGCAGCCGCGGUACGACGUAGGUGGCAAGCGUUAUCCGGAUUUAUUGGGCGUAAAGGGCGGGUAGGCGGGAGCGCAAGCCCGAUGUGAAAACUCAGGGCUCAACCCUGAGCGUGCAUUUGAAACUGUAUUUCUUGAGUGCUGAAGAGGCAAUCGGAAUUCCGUGUGUAGCGGUGAAAUGCGUAGAUAUACGGAGGAACACCAGUGGCGAAGGCGGAUUGCUGGACAGUAACUGACGCUGAGGCGCGAAAGCGUGGGGAGCAAACAGGAUUAGAUACCCCAGUAGUC
Molecule: ribosomal RNA, 443 nt
Filed under: uncultured bacterium
Lineage: Bacteria
Description: partial 16S ribosomal RNA
Rfam family: Bacterial small subunit ribosomal RNA
Source: RNAcentral